GGGCCCGUAGCUCAGCUGGUUCAGAGCAGGGGACUCAUAAUCCCUUGGUCGAAGGUUCGAAUCCUUCCGGGCCCACCA
Molecule: transfer RNA, 78 nt
Filed under: Gammaproteobacteria bacterium
Lineage: Bacteria; Pseudomonadati; Pseudomonadota; Gammaproteobacteria
Also listed under: 1 other name
Description: tRNA-Ile
Rfam family: tRNA
About the family: Transfer RNA (tRNA) molecules are approximately 80 nucleotides in length. Their secondary structure includes four short double-helical elements and three loops (D, anti-codon, and T loops). Further hydrogen bonds mediate the characteristic L-shaped molecular structure. tRNAs have two regions of fundamental functional importance: the anti-codon, which is responsible for specific mRNA codon recognition, and the 3' end, to which the tRNAs corresponding amino acid is attached (by aminoacyl-tRNA synthetases). tRNAs cope with the degeneracy of the genetic code in two manners: having more than one tRNA (with a specific anti-codon) for a particular amino acid; and 'wobble' base-pairing, i.e. permitting non-standard base-pairing at the 3rd anti-codon position.
Source: RNAcentral